UCUUGUUCUUAAUCUCCUUAAAUAAAUACCUUUUGCAAUAUUCCAAGCUGAUAUAUAGAAUUUGAUACCGAAAAAUACUUCUAAACGACUACAGGAAAUGAAAUUUUCACCACAUAUGUUGACAAAAAAAUGCUGGAAUUAAAGAAUAUAUUAAAGUCUGUGCAAAGGGCAAUAAAAUAAUUGAGGACAAGAGUACAAACUGAUGAGUCACCACAAAAAGGAGGUACCAAAGGCAUCCAAUGCCAAAGAUAACAGACGUCUCAGCAAGUCCAUCCACGGCGAGGACAAAGCAAGUAAAGUUUCUCAGAUUUACAAGAUAAUAUUUAUGUAAAAAACAAAAGUAGUCUGGAUAAAAACAAUCCCUCAGUGCAAAUUUAACUCAGAAGAGAUAUUGCCAACUAAUGAGGAAAGUAGAAUUUCACAGUCGUACCUAUCGUCAGAAAGAAAAAGGUUGUUUCGAGCUAUUUGAACCAUUCAUUUAUAAUGACAUACAACUGUGAAGAUAAGAGAAUUAAUUAUUUAAAUAUCUGAUGUAAGUAAUGAUAUAAAAAAUUUUCUUUUAAACGAGGAUAUUAAUUCAAAAUUUAAUUUAAUUAAUUUAUAAAAUUAUUUAAAAAAUAAUAUUUAUAACAUUUUUUAGUUCAAACUUAAACUUUGCUUACAAAAAAACCACUGUUUGUAUUUUGAAUUUAUGCAGUUACUUUUUUUUUGUUGAAAAAAAAUUAAAAAUUAAAAAGAUUAAUUUAUUUUUAAAAUUAAGAUAAAUCAUCCAUUUAUAAGAAAAUUUAUAAAAUUUGUAAAUUUUUUUAAAUUUACAUAUUAUCUAUCAAUAUAUCAUAAAAAUUUCAAUUUGAAUAUUUUAUAUUCAAACCUUAAAUUUUAAUUAAUUAAACCAAUUUUUAUCGAAAUUUAUUCAAUUAAUUUAUAUUUACAUAUGCCUCCGGUUAUAACAAUUUGAAUAAAACAAUAUAAUCAAAAUGUACUUCUUUCAAUUUUAUUUACAGAAUCAAAAGGAAAGUUUUUGCCAACUGAAUUAAUUUUUAAUCAAUUUUUAACACCUUACUUUCUUAAAAUCGUAAUGUUAUUGUUUUUAAUAAUUUAUUUUGGAAGGCAAGUCCCUUUAAACUCUUUCCCAUGAUUCGUCCUUGGUCACAAUUUUUAUAUGUAAAAUAAAAGUGAAUACUUAAGAAUUACAAUAAAAAAGUUUGGGGUGAGAAAAUUAAAAAUUAAUUUAAAAUUAUAGUAUUUAAAUUGAUUUAGAUUAUUUUUUAUUUAAUUUAAAUCAAAUUUAAUUAUUAAAUAUAUAUAUAUAUAUUAAAUUUAGAUCGAAUUUAAAUCUAAAUGUAAGAUCUAAUUCGAUCUCAAUUUAAAAAAAAAAAAAAACUUUUGACCUUAUCUAGAAUUUUUAAAAACCCGCACGUAUUGAAUUGAAGCAAAUCAAAAAUUCACGAGAUAAAGGGUUUGUUUUGGCAACCUUAAACGUAAUAAAAAAGAAAUGACAAGAAAAAUAAGUUAAAUAGAGAAACAACGUAAUAAUUUUAUUAAUAUAAUACAUAUAUAUAAUUAUAAAUUAAAAUAAAUAAUAAAAUAUAUAUCUGAACUAAAUAAAAUACUCUAAACUUGCAUCUAAUUUAAUAAUGAUUUUUAAAAAAACCUCAAGGCGAUCCCAAAUUUUAAAAGAACAUAUUUAUUGGAUCCGAAGGAAUCAAAACCUAUUACGUUAGGAAUAGAAUUGUAACCAUAUUUGGCUGCAGGAUUAUUUUAAUUUUUUUAAAGUUAUAUUUCGAAUAUGUGAGAAGUAAAUUUUUCAUGUCAUGUUUUAAAGGAAGACAACAUAUAGAUAAAUAUAAGAGUAUUUAUUUUUUAUUAUAAAUUAUAAAUUAAUUAUAUAUAAAAAUAUGUCUUUUAUUAAAUUAAAAUACUACAUAAUAUCUUUAUUGAUAUAAUAUAUAUAAAUAAAAAUUAAAUAAAUAAUAACAAAUAUUCUUUAUAUAUCUUUAAAAGUAUCGGACAGAGCGCCUCAAACAUUAUUUUAUCUUGACUCAAGUUAUUUAAAAAGAUAAAACUUAGCUCAAUUUUUAUUUAAAGAAAAAAAAUGAAUGAUUGGAUUAUGAUAAAUUGAAAUCUAUCACAUACAUGUUGUUUUAUCAUCCUUAUAUUCAUCUACUCUUUCUUGUAAAAUCAAACUUAUAGGCUGAUACGAAAAACAUUAAUUCGACAAUUAAGGAAUUAUUGAUGCAUGCGUGCACGCAUCCAAGUUCAUUUUUCUUUCUUGAUGCUUGUCGUCUUUGACUAUCUUUGUUUGAUUAUUGGACAAAAAUCAUUGUAAUGCCCAACUUUAUUUUUUGCAUUUUUUUCCUUUCAUUAUAAGUUUGAUUAAUACUGUUGCAUGGAGAAAUCAAAGAAAUACAAAUGGUAAAGAAAAUAUAAAAGUGAGGAUAAUCACACCAUUCGCAUUUACUAAAAUUAUUAUUAUUAUUAUUAUUAUUAUAUCCAUGUUUUGAAUGAUUUUUUAAAUUUUCGUGCAAUAAUAAAAAACUUGCCAUAUUAUUUCUAUUUAAUUAUAUUUUUCUCUCUUCCACCCACAUAUGGCAUGAAGGUAAGAAAAGCUAUUAGUGUUAAAUGUGUACGAUUAGAUAAAACAAGAACCAGCAACAACUCUGAACAUUUAAAGAUUUAAAGAUUUAUAUUUGAUGCAUUAUGUGUAUAAAUGUUAUAUAUUAGAAGUGAAUCACACAAUGAUAUUUUAUAAAAAAAUAAUUUUAAAUAUAUAUUUAAAAUUAAGUGUAUUUGUUUUUUAUGAUUUUAAAAUUUUAAAAUUAAUUUUUUUGAAGUGUCAUACAUAAAUAAAUAUAGUUAUAUAUAAUGAUAAUAUAUCAAAUAUAAAUUCAAUAUCUUGUUUUUAUUAUUGACUUUUACAAACCCGAUAAAGAAAAAGAGUUUCCAUCCAAGGUCAGGUUUUCUCUUGUCUAUCAUUUUUCCAUUGAAAUAUAACUAAAUUUCCUUAGGUAUUUUAGCUUUGAGAUAAAAACUAUUGUAGCCAUAAAUUGCCUUAAUUGUUUGGUGCAUUAUCCUCCAUUUAAAAAACAAGAUUUGAAUAUCCGCUCCCCAAUUAAAAAAAAAAAAAAAAACUACUUCUGUAAAAACAGAAUUUAUUAUAUUUUAUAUAAGGAAAAAAUUAAUAGAACAAUAAAAAAGUAUAAAUUCUUUUUUUGGUUAAAUAACUCCUAAAGUAAUUGUAGGUUGUUUAAUUUUCGUAGAUGUAUGGGCACAAUUCCAUCAGAAUUUAAAAUCUUUUAGUAUUUUUGUUUUUCUUUUGUAACCAAUAUAUAUAUAUAUAUAUAUAUAUAUAUUUGAAAAGAUUCAUUUGCAUUGAUAUAAAACUUUGUAGUUUUACAUUUUUUAAUUAUUAAUUUCAAUAAAUCUAAAAAAGAAAGAGAUAAUUAAAAAAAAAAUUUUAUCUCAUCAUUAGAUUUAUUAAAAUCAAUAUUAGAAACCAGUGUAAAAUUAAAAAUUUUAUACUAUAAUGAUAACUCAAAAAGAGAAAAAAUGAUUGAAUCGCAUCCUCUUAAUUUAUUAAAAUUAAUGAUUAAAAAAUUAUAUAAAUUAAAAAAUUUUAAACUAGAGUAAAUUAAUUCCUUAUAUAUAUAUAUAUAUAUAUAUGAGUAGGAAUUAAUUUAUAAUAAUGUAAUUCUUAUACUUUUUUGGAACAUUUAAAUCAAAAUUAUUAUAUUUAAAAACAUUAUUUUAAUUCAAAUGAGAGUCAAAUUAACGAGACAAUACAUGCGAAUGCGGGAUGGUUAUCAUGCAUGAAUCUGCAGCUUAUUGUUUGUUUCCUGAAAUGUUUGGACACAUUCAUCGGCUAAAGUCUAUAUAAGGGAACACUCUUCUUCCAGAUUUUCACAAGUUGCUCAAAUAUUGAGUGGAUUACUCUAAAUUAGAAAUUUUCAAUGGGAUUGUCGCUUUUCUUUGUUCUUCUAGCCCUUCCUAGCUUCAUCCUCUUCUUUCUCCAAAAACAUAGAAACAAAAAUGCUGCCAAGUUUCUUCAUCCCCCUGGCCCGUCUGGUCUUCCCUUGAUCGGCAACUUACUCCAGCUUAAUAGCUCAGCGGCUACUCAUAUUUAUCUUUGGGAGCUCUCUCAAAAAUAUGGUCCUUUAAUGUCCUUGCAACUUGGUCAUAGACAAACUCUAGUAAUUUCUUCGGCAAACAUGGCCAAAGAGAUCAUGAAAACCCAUGACCUCGAUUUUUGUAGCAGGCCUACUUUAUGUGGCCAGCAAAAGUUAUCUUAUAAUGGCUUAGAUUUGGGUUUUUCACCUUAUAAUUCUUAUUGGAGAGAGAUUAGGAAAAUAUGCGUCGUCCAUCUCUUUAACCCUAACAGAGUGUUACUUCAUCGUCCCAUUCGAGAAGAUGAAGUUGCUCAAAUGAUCGAAAAGGUAUCCAAAGCAUCAGUCGGUUCGAAACCAAUCAAUUUGAGUGAGGCAUUGAUGUGUCUUACAAGUAGAAUAAUUUAUAGAGUAAGUUUCGGCAAGAGAUAUGAAGAAGAAGGAACUGAAAGAAGUAGAUUCGAUGCGUUGCUUAAGGAAACUCAGGCCAUGGUUGGGAGCUUCUUCUUUUCUGAUUAUAUCCCUUUCAUGGGUUGGGUCGAUAGACUCUCCGGUUUACUUGGUCGUCUAGAAAAAAAUUUCAAAGACUUUGAUACCUUUUAUCAAGAACUCAUUGAUGAACAUCUUGAUCCAAAUCGGCCAAAACCCGAGCAAGAGGAUUUUCUUGAUGUUCUACUACAAAUAUGGAAGGAUCGUGUGUUUCAAGUUGAUCUCACUUUCGAUCACAUAAAAGCUGUGCUGAUGGUAAUCGAUCUUCACUCAAAACUUAUUUUAGUUAUUUUUUAGUAAAUUUUAUUCAAAUCACGAUUUUUUAAAAAAUGUUUCGUGUUCAUCAUUAACCUAAAAAUCUCCCUCGACAUUUUAAAAUUGUUUCAAAUUUCAUUUUUUUUGGCAGUCAAAUGUUAGAAGCUUGAUGCAAUUAGGCACUUCUGUUCCAUGUGAAUGUUCAAAUGAUCAAUCAAUCCACAAUUUAAAUACACAUGGCACUAAUUGUCUGUUAAAUAUUGUCAAGAAUUUAAUGUCACAUUAAUUGAUGGAGGAGGAAGCAUGUAUUUGGAAUAAUUUAAAAGAUCACAGAUGGAAAUUUGAAAUUUAAUUAAAUUGAUUUACAUAAUUAUUUAUUACAAAUUUGAGAUUUAAAUUUUAGUAUAUAAUUUAACCUUUUUUCUCAUUUUCAAACUACAGCCCUCUUUAAAACAAAGAAAAAGAAAAACAGAAUAAGUAAUGAUAAACAUGAAAGUUUUAGUUUAAGGCUGAAAUGAAACAAUAUAUUUUAAAAAGUCUCAUAUUGUAAAUAAAAUGUACUCAUUUAUUCAGGGUUAUCAUUAAUUUUCUAACUUCCUAGUAGGAGUACGAUUGUUACCCAUUUUGUUUUCUUUUUAUGUAGAAUGUAUUUGUUGGUGGGACCGACACCAGUGCUGCAACCGUGAUUUGGGCAAUGACCUUCCUAAUGAAGAAUCCUAGGUCUAUGAAAAAAGUUCAAGAGGAAAUCAGAAAUCUCAAUGGAAACAAAGGUUUCGUAGAUGAAGAUGAUAUUCAAGGUUUGCCAUAUCUUAAAGCUGUGAUAAAAGAAACAUUCAGAUUGCAACCAACGGCUCCAUUAUUAGUGCCACGAGAAACAAUUAGGAAGUGCAAUAUAGCCGGGUAUGAAAUACCUGCCAAAACACUAGUUUUCGUGAAUGCAUGGGCAGUAGGAAGAGAUCCUGAAGCUUGGGAAAACCCUGGAGAGUUCUAUCCUGAGAGAUUCAUUGGCAGCUCCAUCGACUUCAAGGGACAUGACUUUGGGCUCAUACCAUUUGGUGCUGGAAGAAGGGGCUGUCCUGGAAUACAUAUGGGAGUUGCAACUGUAGAGCUAGCCCUUGCCAAUCUGCUUUGCAAAUUUGAUUGGGAAAUGCCGGUUGGGACGGACAAGGAUGACUUAGACUUUGAUGUGAUACCUGGUCUUGCUAUGCACAAAAAAAAUGCUCUUUUCCUUGUAGCUAGGAAGUUUAAUGUUUGAUUCGAUCCAUGUAAGGUUAAAUUAGUUUGCUGCUUGCUAUGGUUUGGAGUGUUUCAAUUACAUUUUGUGUUUUGAGUGUAUUUUAUGAUAAAAUCAAUGUCCACAUGUGUUGGUUAUGAAGAGUUAUGGUCUCAUAGACUUGAUUUUGUGGAAGUUAUAACAGAAUUUUGAAGUAGUUAAACCACAACCAAAAAAAUACAAAUUGAGAUUAGAUUUAUUAAUAAAAACCAAAUUUAACCAAUUGAAAUAUUUAAAACAAAAUUCUAUCCAUUUAUUAGGAGUUAAAUUUUGUGACUAUGAUUAAGUCAAGUAAAAAUUCCAUUGUAACUUCCACCAAACUGAAUCCAUGGGAUAAAAACUCUUGAAAUGAUAAUUUUUUUUUCUUACAUAAUUUGUGAGCGUGUUUAAAAAUUCAAUUGAAUUUAUUUAGAUUCUAAUUGCAUCGGACUAUUUAUAUGGAUAUUUAGAUUUAAAAGAUCCGUAAUUUAAUUUAUUUGAGCUUGAAAACCCGAAAGCCAAUGUAUCGCCCAACAAGGACCCAAGUUUUUAUAUUAAUUAAGUUUUAUUCAUUUAAUUUUAAAAAGUAAAUAAAAGGACGAAAAUCGAAAUAAAAAAUUGGUGGCAGUGAUGUGAUGCUGCCGUGAAUGGCACCAUCCGAAGAGAGCGGCUGGGCUGUCGAUUUCAUGCUGCCAGCCUCCCCCUGCAGCUUCACUCUUCCCUCCCGUGAUCACCUUGUUCAGGGUAAUGGUAGCUAAUCCACCGUACUAAGCAACCAAAGUAGAGCUUAACAGGAAAAUCAAAAUUUUUAAUUAAAGUGCAAGUUUGAAAACCAAGAACGCAGAAGAUAGGAUAGCAAAAAUUAUGUAAUUUAAGAAAUUCAAAUAAAAGAUCAAAUAUUUAAAUUUGAAAUUUUAAAAUUUUUAAAAUUAUGAAACUCACCAAAGACAUAGUGGAAUAAAAGACAUAAGCUUUUUAAAUUAUUACUAUAAUUUUUCCAUUAAAUUUAAUUUGUGUUUUAAUAUUUUAUAUUCAAAAUUAUAUGCAUAUUUUUUUUAUCAAAAUUAUAUCCAAUUAAAUAUAUAAUAAUAAAAUAUAUUUCCUAGCAAAAAAAAACUUUUUUUAAAAAAUAAUUACAUUAAUUACAUGAAUCUUAAUUAUAUAUUUGAAUAUUUAUGGCUUAUGGAGCUGAGGUUUGUACUUAUUUGUGUAUUAUCAUUUUGUGAUUUGAUUGAUAGAUUAUAUGCAUUCACUUUGAUACAAAUGAUAAAAUCCAAUCUUGGGGUGUGAGUGAAUUGUUAUAAUCAAAAGAUAGUGGAAUUGAACAUGCUAAUUAAUUAGAAACUGAAUGAGUGUAUGAUAAAAUCCAAUCUUGGGGGGUGAGUGAAUUGUUAUAAUCAAAACGAUAGUGGAAUUGAAAAUGAUAAUUAAUUAGAAACUGAUUGAGUCCAUCUGUUUUAUGCAGCAUCUACCAACUAUGGUUGUCUUGAGAGGUCAUUUGAUCUGUUAGGCAAUAGUUGUGGUAGUAAAAUCCUGAAACUGAACUUCACUUCUAUCAUCCAGACUAGUAUAACUAACUGUCCUUCAUCUUUCUAAAGGGUAAAAAAUCCAGACACUUGUUUUUUAUUUUUAUUAAGUUGUUGUUAUGAUUUAUUUUACAGGUAAUGCUUGGAAUCCUAUGAAGCAUGGACACGGACAUGUUUACGAUAUAAUAUGUAUAUGGUGACAUCAUGACAAUUUGUGAAAAAUAAGGAUAUGGAUAUGGCAAGAUAGAUAAUAAAAAAAGAGUAUUUUUUAUAUAUUAUAAUCAUAUGUUAAAAAUAUAUAAUAGAUAUCGGGUUGAUUUUUAAAGGUCAAUUACCCUUACAAAGAAAAUUUGAUGUAAAUACAGCACUAAAAAAACAUAGGAUGUCCUUAUCCGUACAAGAAUUGUCUUUUUUUUUUUUUUUUCAUCGAAUCCGAUCAAGUUCGAUAUGUAAUGUUUUCCGACAGGUCCAGCUGGUACGUAUGUCGUAAGCAUUAAAGUGUUAACAAUGUAACACAAAUACGCAAGAGGUUCAAACGUAUCCUUACUUCAUAAUUGGAAUCUAAACCAUCCAUGACAAAGUUUGACCUUGUAUAUUUAGAAGUUUUGAGUGCUUCGCUUCUUUCCUGCCAAUUAAUUUUAUGUUCUGUUAAUAGAAGCGAUAAGUUUCGCUCUACAGGCAUUCGGUUUAUAAAAAUGAUAUGUUUCAGUUCACAGGCAUUUGGAUAGGUUGCAUUAUUUGUGGAGACAACAUAACUUUCCAGUAUUUAAAUAUUUAUGGUUUCUUUUUGUUUCAAGUUCUGGUAACCCAGUUCUUGUACUGAAACAGAAUGUGAACAGGGAAAAUAAAGAGAGAAUGAAAAUGACUAACAGAAAACAAAAGUUCUGACGCAAUGGAAAAAUUCCUAAGCUGUAAGGGAUGGUUUUCCUCCAUUAUUGAGCAUGAUACAUGCUAGAAUUGUGAUCCACUGUAGCCAGUUGACAAAUACUGAUAUCCCGACUUAAGAUGUGCAGUUGUUCGAACAUAGCAAUAAUUAUGAGUCGCAUAAAAAAUUCAAGCUACAAAAAUUGCCUAAAAUAAGCUGUGAUGUUUUUUGCAUUCAUUUUGAAGGAAGUACAAUGCUGGGUUUGCAUAAUUUAUGAGACAAUAUUUGGAGUAGCAUGCUGAUUCAGUUUAGACUCCUUAAAGAUUGUCAGGCUCGUUUCACAUGAAGAAGUUGAUCUGAAAUUCUGCAGAAUAAAUUGAGCAUAGUUAUUUAUAAGCUUCUGCAGAAUAAAUGGAUGCUUGAGUUUGUGUUCUUUUAUGUCAAGACAUAGGACAUCCCCCUGAUUUGAUGAUUGAAAUGAGCUCCUCAAACCAAUACUUGUGCUUAGCAGCUGGAACACUUUGCCUCGAUCAACGUAGAUGUUUCUUUACGCCAACCCAGAGUGCUUAUAAAGAUCUAAGAAGCAUAUAAAAAUGUUUAGUGCCUACUAUAAAUAGUUAAAAUUCAUACAUAAAGGCAAACAGUUCUCCAAGCAAGUAUAAAAGAAAACCACAUGAAGCUCUGUUGCUUUACAUUGUUUAUCAUAUAACCUCAGGUUCGUCAAAAGCUCAAUCCAGACAAAGAUUUUCAUUUGUGGCUCCAACAAACUGAAAGAAACUAUCAUCGGAAAAAACAAAGACUUUUGAUCAAUGUUUUAUGGAUCGGAUAUGUUAUGUCAUCAAUAUGAAGAAUUGUGCUAGAGUGGAAUGAAACUUCUAAACAUUAUUGCACAACAGAAUGAUAUUACAAAGAAUUUUAACACUGUUACAUUUCGAAUAUCAAUUUUGCAUUUGUAGAAGGCCCUAGCUCAGCCAAAUUUACCUGCUUGAUGCAGUUCUUACCCUAUCUUAUCAUUUAUGUUUGCACUGCUGACACAGAAAAGAUUUCUGUUGUAGGAAAGGAGCUGCUGCCCUAAGAACUUCGAAACCACCAAUGAAUUGAAGUUAUUUCGUCAUGUCAGACAAGUUCCACAACAUCAGAUUUUUGUUUUGAAGCAUUUGGAAUAAAAAUGGCAGUACCAAAAAGGGGAGAAAAAAAAAGGAGAGAAAGGAAUCCUAACAAGGCUGGAAAUUUUCAUUAUGCUAAGUAUUAUGAUUUCUUAUAAUAUAUGGUUUCUGAUCAUAAACAAGGAACCUAUAUACUCAAAGAGUAUGAUAUAUGGGCUAUGGAUGGUGGAACACGAUUCACGGGUAUGGAAUGUUCAAGGCACUUAUUGCCGGUUCUGGAAGACCACCUUAUUCAGUUUAAAAGACAAAAUUAUGGUAAAUUAAACAUAAAAUAUAAAAGAUUUUCCUUCACUAUAAAAGAAGAACCUUUCAAAAUGAUUUCAGAACCCUGGAAAUAACUAAUUUUUUUGGCAGUCUGUGUAUAGUUGUAACAUUACCACUUUCAUAGGAAACAAUGUUUCCCUUGGGGGAAUUUUGGCGCCACUGACACUGUCCUCACUCCCAAGUCGGGCAAUAAAUCUUUAAUAUCUCAUCAUUUAAAAGAAAUUGAGUUCUCAAUGGGUUUGACGCAGAGAUUUUGGUAGACUCAUUCAGGCUGCCAUAGGGUCAAUUUGACAGCAGUGAAGGCAAUGCAUGCUUCAGCUAAGUAAACAGCAUUCUUCUUUUUCAGGUCUUUCCAUCCGCUUUUGCAAACCACUUUGUGUGCUCCUAAGAAGGCACUACUCACUAGUCUCUGCGAGUCACUGAAACCAGAAUUAGAUAUCAAAUAAAUCUUCAAGCAUAUAAGAAGAUAACAAACAUUUAAUAAUUGAAACUAUUCUUGAAUGAUUAUGCCAAAAAAAAAAUCAGAAGUCAAUGAAACAAAAUGAUUAAUAGAUAUAAACAUUUAACAUAUCUGUUCUGUUCUUGAAAUUGUCCUAUAGGGAAUUUUUACCAGAAGACUGAAAGAAAUAUGUUUCAUAGACUACAAAAAAGAAUUUUCUAAAGUUUUCUAACUUUUAGUAAACAAUCCAAUGCCAUAGUUACUCAGUCUUUUCUGUGACCAAUCACAGGUAUGGCAGAAGGAAGUACACAUAAAGAAAAGCCAAAGACAUGAGGAUAUCAUGAAUGAGUCAUUAACAUAAGAAAAAAAUAUAUAUAGAAAUAAACUAUAAGACCUACUCAUUCUGAAACUAUUCCUAAAUUUUCUUUUAAAAUGGUAGCAAAACAUUGAAUCCAUGUAUCAAACCUGGAGAGAACCAUCUGCAAGUUCCAAUAACUUCUAAAUUAAAUCAUUAUACUCCAUGACGGAAGGAAGAACUUCUUUCUCAAUUCUGCAAAUAUAGAUUACACUACAAUCAAAAGUUUUGCAUAAAAGAGAUUCACUCGUUUCUAACAAAUGAGCUUCAAAAAUACCUGUCCCCAAUUUAAUAACCAGGAUUUUAUCAAUGCUUAAACUUAAAAGGUUAAAGUCUGAAUUUGAUUCCUUUACUACCUCAAUCCUAUCGGUUUAGUCCAACUUCAAUUUUAAUGAAUUUAGUCCAUGUAGUUUUAUUAAACAUAGAUUUUUUAUACAUAUUUCAUUUCAUUGUAAAACAAAAAGCUAUGUGUGUAAUGGAUUGAACUAGUGAACAUUCUAUUAUGAAAUAAAAAAAAUAAUAAUCAAGAAUAUAAAUCACUUGAGCACUUGAUUUAAUAGUACGUUCAUGUUCUUCAAAUAAGUAGCAUAUAAUUGCAAAGUUGACAUACACCUGAUUUCUGGGCGUUUCUUCCGGUAACAAAUUAGCAAUUAGAAUGCAAGGAAUGUGGGCUAUUUUGGGCCACUCUUGUCCUUCAUCCUCCUUGCAUCGUUCUCUUAGCAGUGGACAGUCAACAAUAUCUAGUUGCAAAAGUGAGUCAAACAUCUCCUUUUCCGGAAGGAAUUUGAUCACGGGGCAGCUUCGGAUUUCCAAUGAUUCAAGAAAUUUGAGAUUUUGAAAGCCUUUGGAGGAUAGAGUUUCCAGGUUUGGAAAACCGAAGAUUGUGAGGGAGGUGAGAGUGCGGGGCAGAAGCAUUUCCUCACAUGGGAAAGACACCACAUCUAGAGAAGCACCGUUGAUGGACAAAUGUUUAAGGGAGGUGAGUUUGUGCAAACCCCACUCGAUCACUGACUUGCAAAUAUUGGGUUGCAAGAUUGUAAGUGAAGUGAGAUUGGGAGGGAACCCCUCUUCCGGAAAUGAUAUCACACUUGGACAAUCAAAUAUGAGCAAUUCUCGCAUAGAGACGAUGUUGUGGAUGCAUUUAGGUAAGGCAUGGAGUUUUUCACACCGAGAAAGGCUAAGAUAUCUGAGCUUGUUUAAUUCACGAGGCAAAGAUCUCAAAUUAUCACAACCGCAGAUAACCAUCGAUUCAAGGGAAGAGUUCUCUUCAAUUUCUUGAGCUAUGGACUCUAGUGCUCUGCAUCUUCUUAUAUCGAGGUAUUUAAGCCCCAUAGGUAACUUGCCAUUGGAUGACAAGGAUGCCAACUUUUCACAACCAUAAAUGUCAACAUGUUGAAGCCUAAUAGGUAACUCGCCCCUUGAGGAUAAAGAUAUCAGAGACUUACAAUUUUCAAUCACCAAGUGCUCUAGAAGAGGCGUGCUGUUGAUGUUGUUAUUUACUCCAUCCAGCAAGUACUGCAAAUUCUCACACUCCUUAAUGGUUAAACGUCUUACGUUUGGAGGCAAGUUUCCAUUUGAAAUUGAAAUCAAUCUUGGGCAUCCCUCAAUUCCUAGCACCGUAAGGGAUCUGUAGCUGUGUAGGCUUUCUGCUAACCUUUCUAGCCUUUCACAACAGUGUAUGCUCAAAUGUUCAAUAUGGCAAGGGAUUCCUAACUGCAUAUGCUCUUCCUUUCCGUCCUCUGCCCCUAUGGAAACAAGUCUUGAGCAAUUAUGAAUUUCCAAAAAGCGAGUAGGCCUCAAAUGUGUUGAGGGUCCUUCCUGGUUCCGCCAUGAAGAAAUUAGCUCCUCACAUCCACAUAUAUAAAAAGACGUUCAGCUUUUAUCAACCCUAACAUCAUCCCCUCCAUUGGAGAAGUGAAUUUUGAAAUGUCUGAAAGAGAGACUCUUUCAAUGAAUGAGCCAGAAUUUGCACAACUUGUAGACGACACCUCUUGGCACCCAUUAAUUUCCAAGUCAGACAACUUUGGAAGGCUUGAGAGUGAAACUACCAACUUCUCACAUUCUUGAAUCACAAGUCUCUCCAAUGAAGGAAGACAACUAGGUAGACUUCUCAGCUGUUGACACAAAUUAAUCUUCAGCUUCUUCAAGGAAGGAAGACGAUUAGGUAAACUUCCUAACAACUUGGGGCAAUUUGAAAUGAUGAGCUCAUGAAGGUGUUGGAAACUCCUUACAUUUUCAUCAACUUCACAGGGAUCCCAUUCCUCCCAUUCUGGCAUGUCCUGAAAACGUAAUCUCUCUAGUGACGGAAAUGCAUUAAUCGAUAGAUCCUUUCCAAAAAUAUUAGCACCCACUUUUUUAACCUUACUCAUCCUCCGGAUAGAAAGCGAUUUUAGCGACGUUAAUCUUCCAACAGCUGGUAAUAAUGUGCAAUUUGGACAGUAAUACAGAUCCAGAAUCGAUAGCUUUCCAAAUGAAGGAUCUCCGAACCAAUUUGGGAAUGUUUCACCUCCAUAACAUUCGAUGGUAAGCCUUUCAAGCAUUUUAGGAGGUUGGAGUGAAUCCAAGAUGUCCUUGUGAAUUUCUUCUCCGGCGAAAUUAUAACUCCACUCUAAAGCUAAAUCACGAAGGUUCGACUUAUAACAUAACCCAGCCACCCAUGCAUCUUGAGCUUUGACAACAUUCUGCAAUUCUGAAAUAACAAGUCCACCCUUAAGAUUAGACAAAUUCUCCAUCUCCCUUAUCUUACGGCCAUUGUCUUGACUGACAACAAAAUUUGUCAAUGUUUGGAAAUUGGUUAGUUCACCGAUUCCCAUUGGCAUCAUUUUUAUUGAAUCUGCACCUCUAAUGUCAAGAUGCCUUAGGUUAAUUAAAAAUCUCAUUUCAGAAGGAAACUCUUCAAGACGAGAACACCCCGCAACAGCAAGGUCUCUAAAUUGUAAAGCUUGCAUAUUGAAUCCGGUAGAGUUUUGAUUAUAGUGCCAGAAAAAUUUAGAUAACGCAGAUGCACCAAAUCUCCAAUAAUAUUGGGAAACUCCGUCAGGUAGCACCCUUGUAAAGAAAACACCCUUAAGUAUUUAAAUUCUGGCAACAACUCACUGAGAACUUGAUUAGAGAUAUACCUCCACCCUUCGGGCAUCUUCAACGGUAGGAAGGUUCUUAAACCCUUCUUUCCGUAAAAGACUUGGAACAUUUUAAUUCUGUCUUUCCUACCACCAAUGUAAGAUGAAUGGCGAGCAUGACUGGAAACGUUCAAUGCCUUGUCACCCUCCACUCUGAAGCAUAUAUCUUUGGCAACUGAAUGAGCCAAAUCAUUAAUCAGAUCAUGCAUUAUAUAUCGAGAAUCAUCCUUGUUGGAUAUUUCAAAAAAUGACCUUUGUACAAGUUCUUGAAAGUACUCAUGACCCAAAUCUUCAUUUGCUUUGUAGCUUCCACUCGCAGAAAGCCUUCUGCCAUCCAUAACAAGACUAUUUCUUCCUCGGUAAAUUCAUAGUCUUUGGGGAGUAAGGCACAGUAAGCAAAACAUCGCUUUAGAUCUGCAGGAAGAUGAUGAUAGCUUAAUCGUAAAGCUUGAAAUAUGUUACUCCUCUCUUCUGGUAAAUUCCAAAUCUCACUUUUUAGUAUCUCUUUCCAUUUACCAAUGUCCACCUUAUUGCGCAAAAGGCCUCCAAUGGUCUUAGCUGCCAAGGGCAAACCCUUGCACCUUUUCGCAAUCUGUACAACAAAUUCUCCCAAGUUUGGAUGCCCACUAAAAUCUUUUGCUCCUAAUGCAUGUUGAGUUAAUAUAGAAAUGCAAUCAUCAUCUGACAACGUUGGCAGCUUGUAAUCUGGGAUAGUACCCACCAUUGAUGAAACAGUUUUAUCACGUGUUGUCACAACAAUCGUAGUUCCUACGCCAAAAGGGGAUAUUAGACGACUCCAAUCAUCAUAGUUUUGAAGCCAAAAAUCAUCCAAAAUCAGAAGUAGUUUUUUCUCCACCAGCUUCUUCUCCAAUUCUGUUUGAAGCUUAUUCAAAUCAUCUCCAGCAUUAGAAGAUUCAGAACUAACUGAUCGCAAAAUUGAUUUCGUUAUCUCCUCCAUCUUAAAGUCUUCAGAAACACAGACCCAUGCUUUAAGAUCAAAAUGAUUAUCUACACGACUAUCAAUUGUAGACAAGCUGAGCAAGCGUUGUUUUGCCAAUCCCUCCCAUGCCAACGAUGGGAAUCACAGAAGCUCCAAAAAUAUUGCUAUUAUCACUCCCAAAAUCAAUUCAAGGAUUGCUUCCUAUUCUUUUUCCCGACCGCAGAUUUGAGUUUUCAUUCACAAGCAAGUGGUUGAUCGCCAUUCCAAUGCUCUUUUUCGCCUCCCACCACCACUUUUAGUCAAAGCCCAAGACACCUUUUUGUGCUUCUAAAUUUUGAAAUCUAGCAGUGAUUUCUUUUAUCUUGACAUCAUUUCCUUAUUAAAUGAUAAAUGACUGCUGAACCUGGUAACGCAAGUAUGAACGAGCUUUUGUACCUUACUGGCGCUGUGAUCUUGAUGUUCCCUCUUUAACUUGAGUCGCAAAGCUUCUGUAGCAAACUCAUCCAAUAUGUCAUCCGCAUCGUAUGCCAAGUCUUGAAGCUGGACCAACCAACUUUUCACAUGCCGGUCCUUCUCUGCAUCAUCUAGCACUGCAUGAAUAUUGUGCAAAGUCUUUUCCCACUUCUUGAGUUCCUCGCAAACUUCCUUCUCAGUUACAAAGUUGAGAAACUCAGAAGAGGCCAACUUACUAAACAACCCUUCAAAGAACACAGAUAAAGCAGCUUCAACGACGGACAUGGCUUUUGACCUGCAAAAACACAGAGAUUAUGUGUGUAAACUUGAAACAGAUGAGGGAAAAAAAGGUGGUGCAUCCAAAAAGAAAGAGAUGCUCAAUCAGUAAUUUAUGAAGGGCAAUGGGUAGUAGGCUUUACUCUACGCCAUUCUUAUCAGNNNNNNNNNNNNNNNNNNNNNNNNNNNNNNNNNNNNNNNNNNNNNNNNNNNNNNNNNNNNNNNNNNNNNNNNNNNNNNNNNNNNNNNNNNNNNNNNNNNNNNNNNNNNNNNNNNNNNNNNNNNNNNNNNNNNNNNNNNNNNNNNNNNNNNNNNNNNNNNNNNNNNNNNNNNNNNNNNNNNNNNNNNNNNNNNNNNNNNNNNNNNNNNNNNNNNNNNNNNNNNNNNNNNNNNNNNNNNNNNNNNNNNNNNNNNNNNNNNNNNNNNNNNNNNNNNNNNNNNNNNNNNNNNNNNNNNNNNNNNNNNNNNNNNNNNNNNNNNNNNNNNNNNNNNNNNNNNNNNNNNNNNNNNNNNNNNNNNNNNNNNNNNNNNNNNNNNNNNNNNNNNNNNNNNNNNNNNNNNNNNNNNNNNNNNNNNNNNNNNNNNNNNNNNNNNNNNNNNNNNNNNNNNNNNNNNNNNNNNNNNNNNNNNNNNNNNNNNNNNNNNNNNNNNNNNNNNNNNNNNNNNNNNNNNNNNNNNNNNNNNNNNNNNNNNNNNNNNNNNNNNNNNNNNNNNNNNNNNNNNNNNNNNNNNNNNNNNNNNNNNNNNNNNNNNNNNNNNNNNNNNNNNNNNNNNNNNNNNNNNNNNNNNNNNNNNNNNNNNNNNNNNNNNNNNNNNNNNNNNNNNNNNNNNNNNNNNNNNNNNNNNNNNNNNNNNNNNNNNNNNNNNNNNNNNNNNNNNNNNNNNNNNNNNNNNNNNNNNNNNNNNNNNNNNNNNNNNNNNNNNNNNNNNNNNNNNNNNNNNNNNNNNNNNNNNNNNNNNNNNNNNNNNNNNNNNNNNNNNNNNNNNNNNNNNNNNNNNNNNNNNNNNNNNNNNNNNNNNNNNNNNNNNNNNNNNNNNNNNNNNNNNNNNNNNNNNNNNNNNNNNNNNNNNNNNNNNNNNNNNNNNNNNNNNNNNNNNNNNNNNNNNNNNNNNNNNNNNNNNNNNNNNNNNNNNNNNNNNNNNNNNNNNNNNNNNNNNNNNNUUUCAUUAUUUUUUUAUUAUUUUAUUAUUUAAAUAUUAAAAAUUUUUAAUUUUUCAUUUUAAUAGCCUUAAAAUUUGAAUUCUUGUUUGUCCCUCUUUGAGAAAGUCAAUUCUAAACCUCCUCCAAAAUUUUUCUUAAAAUCUAGAGGAAAUCUCAUCAAUCUCUCUCAUUUCGAACCUCCAAAACACCUUCUUUAUCCAUCCAUAACCACCGAAGUAGCCUAAAACCCUGGUCAAAGCUUCCAACUUAUUACAAACCUCUAACUUUUGUGAAAACCUUGAAAAAUCUAAUCUGUCAUAGUCUGUCAAUAAGCAUACCCUACUAUCACUCACCACAUCACCUUGCCUUGUCACCUAAAUCCACAUCACUAGGCAUAUCAUCCAACCACAUCAUCUCAGCUAUAUCACCUUUCCAAAUCCAACCAAAACCGUAUCUAUGGUCAAAGUCCAACCAAAACUCUGUCCAAAAAGUCCAAUCAAAUCAAAACUCUACUCAAAGAGUCUUAAUCCAAUCAAAACUCAACCUUAAAAGCUACCUGUUUUACCAAAACACUCUAAAAGGUCCCGACACCCAAAUUUUGUUCGAAGAGUACAUGUCAGACUAAAAUUCUUUCAAAGGGCUAAGAUUCUUUCAAAAGGCUUAAUCUACCUCAAGCUCGAUCUUAACCCAUAAAGUUAUAGUCAAGAUGAAACACAGCUACACUAAACCCAACUCACAACCCCAGACCUAUAGUUGUCCUAUUGGAUCUUGUAUUAGGACAAUCUUCUCAGGUAUAAUUCUUAAAAUCUUUAGACAUCUUAGACCUCUUAUUAAAUUACGUGCAAGUGACAUCCUCCAUGACCAAAUAUCAUCUAGUCUUAGGCACACAUAACGUAAAACAUUUAGUUAUAAUUAGGACUUAUUUUCUAGUUAAAGACAGUGAAAAUUUUUGCAAUGGAAACUCAUGUCUAGCAUGUGAUGUAAAAUCUUGUCACAUAGAUUAGAAAUAAAACGAUAUGUUCUAAAUAUGCCCUUGAGGCAUCUUAUUGAACUAUCAUCUAAGUAUGUCAUUUAUAAAAGAUCACAUUACAUGUUUCUUUGGUUAGUCUUUAUUGUCUUUGCAAUAGAACGGAAUGAACUACUUGAUUUUAAUACAAUUGUUUGACAACACAUUGUUUGCAUCAUUUAAUGAUUGAUAAAAAACUCAAGGUUGUCAUCCUACAAGUAUUUUUCUAGAUGCAUACGUGACAACACGAAACAUAUAAAUAGUUUAUACAAAUUGCUUGUCAUCAAGAAUAAAAGGAAAGGCAUGCUCUUUAAUCCAUAAGCAAGUCAAGAUGUUGGUUUGACAUGGAUAAGUAAAGGCUAGGCUUAUCUCUAACAAGGUUUAGAGCAUUGAUUCCUCUAAUAUCUUGUUUACUAUUUUUGAAUUAAAUUUUUUGAUUAAAAUGAUUGUUACCUUGAAAUCAGUAUUGAUUCCUAAAAUAUAAAUAAAUUGAUUGACAAUUCAUAAUCAAAUCUUAGUUCUCAACAUUGAAAAGAGGUGAAACCCGCAUCGCUCACAUCUUUGUUUAAAAGAGCAUUUAAAAUAAAGAAAAAAUAAUAAAGUUUUAAAGUUCUUCAGACAAACGUAAUAAUUGUCUAUGUUUUCACACAAUUUCUGUUUAAUAAAAAAUAUGCAAUGAUAAGUAAUUAUAGACACACAAUUUAAUCCAAUGAUUAAAUUUUAAGAAAUUCAAAAGUGUUCAAUUUUUUAAAAAAAUUUCUAAGUGAAACUUUUCUAAAUUUCAUCAAAAUGUUGGAGAAUUUAGAAUAUUAUUUCAAUAUUACGAAUUUUCAUUUAUUUCUAUAAAUAAAAAUGAACAAAUUAAUUGAUAGAAAAUUAAUUGAUAAAAUAAAAAAGGGAUAGAAGAGCUAAAAAUGUAAUAGAUAAUUGUAAAUGUUUUUAUCACAUAAUACUUAAUAAAUUUUGGAGUAAGUGGGGAAUUUAACUGGUUAUGAAAUUUUAAGAAAGUUAGAGCAUGAAAUUUUUUUAAAAUUUUUUAUGUGAGUAAAACAAUUUAAAAAGAUUAGAAAUACAAAGAUUUCCACUUUAUUUCCAAAAAUAACAAAAUUAAAGGAAAAAUGAUGAAACCUCUUAUAAGAAACGAACAUAUUUUCUUUAAGAUCUAUUGAAGUGAAAAAACUAUUUAGAGGUUCGAUCAAAGUGUUAAAGAAAACAUAAGAAAAAUUUUAUAUUUAAAUAAUAAAUAAAGUAAUGAGAAUAUAAGAAUAGAUACCAAUUUAAUUAAGACUAUUAAAGACAAUAUAAGAUUAAUUGAUAUCAUCUUUGAAUGGUCACUGUGAGAAAUGUUAAUUACAUCCUAUAAACUUAAUUCUGUAAUGUAAACCAAAACUUAUUCUUUUAAGAUCUUUUAGUCAAACUUAAAAAUCAUUUUAAAGAAUAAAUUUAUUUAAGUAAUCAAUCACACCUAAUCAAAAAUUUUGAUAAUUACUUUAUUAAUAUUAGUGAUCAAAUCCACAAUUCCUCAUGUUAUAACAAUAUAAUCAUCAUUGGUUUAAUAAUUAUAAUAUUGCUUCUAAUUGAAAAGAGAAUUUCCUCAUAUAGACAGGGAAAAAUGAUUAUUCUGAUCUUUAAUGAUUUUGAAGGCAAGAAGACUUGGAUCUUAUGAAUUACAUUGGGGCGAUAGUUAUCGUUUCUCAUUUCAUGGGUAAAAAUUCCGAUCAAGUGAGUUUUAUUUCUUCAAAAAUAAUGUGUUGAUUAUGAUUCUCAUGCAUUUUUUACUCUCAAAAUUAAUUUAUCCAAGUGACAGGAUUUGGAAGCGUUAAUAUAGUUAGCAUCAAUUUUUAUAAUACGCCUCAUAGGCCUGAAGAAGAGGAAAAAUAGCUCUUCGAUCAAAAAGAAAUUUUGCCCGUUAACUCCUAAUUUCUUUGCUAACCGAGUUAAGUCCGAAAAUUUAGAAGAAUGAAUUCCAAUAGCUCCCUCUUCUGGUAGCAAUGAUACCUGAUGUAUACUAAAAAUUUAAACGUAAUAGUCAGUGAUAAGUAUUCAAAAUUUCAAAGCAUAAAGCAAAAUAUGUGUUCAGCAAGCAUUACAAAAUAAAACAGUAACAAGAACUUGAUGAAGAGGAAAACAGCUUCUCGCAUAAAAGAAAUUAUGUCGUUAACUCCUAAAUCUCCUGCUAUAAUGAACCCUAAAACUCUUUCAAGUUAAAGUUCGAAAACUCAAAAGAUUGUGUUGCCAACAGCUCUUUUUCGUUGCAAUAAUACCUGAUAUAAAUUAGAAAUUUAAACGUAAUGGUCAAAGACAAGUAUAUAAAAGACGAAGCAAAAUAAAAGUUUAGUAGGCUUACACAAUAAAGCAGUAACAAGAACCUGAUGAUGAGGAAAAAGGAACUUUUCACAUAAAGGAAAUUCUGCCGUUAACUCCGAAAUCUCCUGCCAUAAUGGACCCUAAAACUUUUCCCAAGUUAAAUACUGAAACUCAGAAGAUCGUAUUGCCAACAGCUCCUUCUUCUGGUUGUAAUAAAACCUAAUAUAAACUAGAAAUUGAAACAUAAUAGUUAGACAUUGCCUUCAGCUGUUUGGCCUAGUGGUCAAGACAGCUUUUCAAAAGGCAUCAUGGUUGAGGUUCAAACCUCAACCUUCCCCUCUCCCCUUAAUGUAAGGCUCUGUUCCGUUGAAUGAUAAAAAAAAACAAAAAAGUAAUAGGUAUUCAAAGCAUGAAGCAAAAUAUAUAUUCAACAAGUAUUACAAAAUAAAACAUUAACUAGAUCUAUUUACGUUAACCAUAUGGUAGUAUCAAAGCAAAUGGACAACAUAGCCAAAUAUGGAUGAAAUAAAUAUUCAAAAAUAAAUUUAUAAGUAUUAAAAAACAAAUAAAUUUCAUUGUUAUAAGGAAACCAAGUUUUAUUGUUACUAAUUCAUUUGCUCUCGUGCUUCAUUGCGAGAUUUAUUAAUUUCUAAAUUUUUAUAAGCAAAUAGGUACAAGGAUUAAUAUACUAAAAUAAACUAUAAUCGAUUCCUCUUUUUGCAUAUUGUCUUUUGUUUAGUUUUUUUUUCCCUAAAAUGGGCAACAAACUUAAGUAUUAUGAGUUAUGACAUAAUACACUUUAAAACAAGAACACGAACAUUCAAUAAAGAUGCAAUGCCACACAGCACGAAUAAGACAAUACAAUAACUUUAAAAAUAAAAGAUAUGAAUAUGAUAAAACAUGAUAAUAAAAAAUUUUUUUAUAUAUUUUUAUGUUAAAAUACUCAAUGUAUAUGUAAAUAUCAAUUUGUAAUGUUUCAUUUUUUUUCAAUUUAAAAUUAUAUUUUAUAAUAUAUAAAAUAUUCUUAACUAUAUAAGAAAAAAUUUAUUUUUAAAUACAUACAAGAUAUUAAUUAUUUCAAAAUGAUGAAAUAACAAUAUAGCUCAAACAACGAAAUAAUGUAUUUAAUUUUUAGAAAGUGCGACAGGUUAUAUUACUUUCUAAUUUCAUUUUUUCUUUUUUACUUUUUGGUGUAUAAAAAAAAGCCAAAAAUCACGUUUGGUCUACUUAAACAUGCCUACCCCACCCAUAAAAGACCCACUCUAUCCCUUAUUUUUCUUUUUCUUUUCUUUCCGUUCUUGCUUUUUUGCAUUUCUUCUUUUUCUCGCCUUUUUUAUUUUCCUGUUUUCUUUCUCUGGCUCUUAACAGAUUUUUGACAACCGCUGUCAUCAUCACCGCUAUCAGCCUUUGCCCAUGGACAUUGAAAAAUUAUUUAAAAAUUAUCAGUAAAUUCAUCUAACCUUUUUCUUUCUUCUUAUCUAACAAGAUUUAAAAAAAAAAAAAAAGCUGAAAAAGCCUAGAUCUAAAAAACCCUGUCGAGAUGGUGUGCAACAAGAUUUUUAUUUUUUUAUCGUGUCCUAGCUUGGUAUGUAUGUAUUUUACUGUAUCAACAGUGUGUUCGUGUCGAACACUAAUACAACAUCGGUACAGAAAGAGUAGCCGCAUGUCUGUGCUUUGUAUAUAUACAACGGGUGAAGCCAUGAGGCGUGAGACCAGAUCGCUCCCUUCUCCUCUCUCUCCUCCUUUGCUAUGUCAUUGUAGGUGUUAUUGUUCUUUUAGCUCACAUAUCACUUCUAAUGAGUUAAGAGUCACCUAAUUGAUUCUCAAUUUUAAAUCUUUUUACAAACAUAUGAUUUCCAUUUUAACAUUUUAUUCACUUCAACAAAAGCAGAAUGCCUCUUUAAAACAAUUUUAGAACUUUAAAAAAAUAAACCUCUUCUUGAAGCAAAACUUUCAACCAUGAUAUGACACCCAAUUUCUACUAAGUUGAUAAAAAAAAACGUAAAUAAGAGAAGUUGCUAACUAGAAAAAUUCCACCGCACCAUAGAAAGGUAUCAAUUAAGUAACAAAAAAUUAAUUAAUUAAUAACUAGCAAUUACCAUCUAAGUGGAAAGUUUCACAUGCUUUCAAGCAAGUUUUACUAUUAUACCAAGAAAAAAAAAUAUUAUUUUAAAAUAAAUUGUAAAACAAAAAAAUAAAACAUACAUGAAGAUAGAAACUGAGAGAAGAAAUUACAGUUUCAAGCAACUUAAGAGAAUUUCUCUCACGAUUGCCAGUGAGGGUAGGUCGAACGAAGAGAAAAUGGUGAAAUAUGGAAGAAUAAGUGUUUAGCUUAUGGAGGAUUUGGAUGUAGAAUAUAGAAAAAAGAACAGCUAAGGAAAGGAAAAGUUAAAAGGGCCAAGAAAGUACGCGGAAGUUUGUUGUUUGAAGACUUGCAUGGCGGUCUUUGCAAAUUAAUAGAAAGUUUUAAUAAAGUUUCAACAAAUUAAUUUGAAAAUUAUGGUAAAAAGAUAAAUAAAAUUGGAAUAAAGUGAAAAAAAUUCAAUAUUGAGUUUUUUUGGAUUAAUUAAUUGAUUAAUUUUAUCAAAUGAAGCACAUUUUACCUAUAUAAUAAAAUAUUUUAAUUUAUUAAUUUGAAUUUUUAUUUAAUUAUUUUUAAUAAAAAUUUUACAAAAUUUAAAUAAUUUUAUCCUAAUUUUUUCUAAGAAUCUAUCAAACUAUCUUACUUUUUUAACCAUAAUUAUGGAGAUAAUUCUCAAUUUAUUUUUUAUUUUCUUAAUAUAGUACCAAAGAGGAUCUUUUCUCUAUCAAGCUUUUUCUUUUCCUUUCCUGCGCCUGUUGAUCCUCCACCACACCAUCUUACUGUGCGGGUUUAAUCUUUUGAAUGUAUAGAUGAUAUAUUUAAAUUUUAUAAAAUGCGUUUAAAUGAAAUUUUUUAUAAUAUUGAAAAUGCUGAAAUUAAAGUCCGUGCGAAGGCCAAUAAAAUUAGUACGAAUUGAUCAGCCACCAAAAACGUCAGUUACGAAAUGUCAAAUCUUGAAACAGAGAGGCAUCCAAUCCCAAUAAAAUCUAAAAAAGGAGAAAGCGAGAUGUGAAAAGUAAUGGAGUAUGGGUAAAAGUUUAAAGGGUAAUCGAAUCGAGCGAAAUAGUGAGAAGUUUGAGUUCGAUUCAUAAUUUAAAGUUUGAUAUUUGAUUUAAAUUUGAUUAAAUUUUAAUUUUUAAGUUUGAAUUUGAUUUAUGAUUGAAUUUAAGUUAUUUGAGUUUAUUUAAUUAAAUUUGAUUAAUAUAUAAAAAUAAAUUUGAUUCGUAUAUUCGAUAAGAAUUUAAUUAUUCAUGCUCAAACUCGAACUUAAAUUCGAACUCAAAAUAUUUUAUUAAUUAAAAUAAUAAAAAUAUAUUUAAAUAUAAAAAUUUGAUUAAAUUCGUGAAUUACUCAAAUAUGAUAUAAAAAUAUUUGAAUUCAAUUUGAUCGAUAAAUCAAGCUAUUCGAAUUCAAAUUCGACUCGAUAAUAAUCAAAUCAAAUUUAAAUUUUUUUUAAUCGAAUCCAAAUAAUUUAUUAAUAUUAAUGUAUUAUUUACACCCUAAUAAAAACCAUUCCUCGUUCAAAAUUUAGGUCAGAAAAAGUAGAAUUUCACAGUCGUACGUACUCAGAAAGAAAAUGAAGUUUGCCGCUCAUUUAUAAUGACAUACAGCUGUUAAGAUAAGGGAAAAUCGAUUAUUUAAAUAUCUUAUGUAAGCAAUGAUGUAAAAAGUUCUAUUUUAAAUGAUUAUAUUAAUUUAAAAUUUAAUUUAAUUAAUUUAUAAAACUAUUUUUAAAAAAUAACACUCAAAACAUUUUUUUAAUUUCAAACGACAACUUUGUUUAUAAAAAAUUUUGUUUAUAUUUGGAAUUUAUACAGUUAAUUUUUUUGUGAAAAAAAUUUAAAAAUAAGAGAAAUUAUUUAAAGUUAGCCGAUAAUCUAUAAAAAAAAAUUACGAAUCAUUUAAGAUUUUUUCAAUUUACAAACUAUCUAUUAAUAAAAGAGUAUAAAAAUUUAAAUUUAAAUAUUUUAUAUUUAUAUUUUAAAUUUUAAUCACUUAUAUGAAUCUCUAUUUUAUAUUAAUACAGUUAAUUUAUAUUUACAUAAACUCGAUUGUGACAAUUUCAUUAAAAUAAUAUAAUCAAAAUGUACUUCUUUUCAUUUUAUUUAUAAAAUCAAAAGAAAAGUUUUUUGCCAAUUAAAUUAAUUUUUAAUCAAUUUUUAACACCUUAAUAUUCAUUUAAAUUUUAUCAUAUUUUUAAUAUAAUUAAUUAAAUUUAUCAUAUCAUUAAUUAAAUUUAAAUAUUAAUUUUAAUAAAAUUCAUUUAAUAUAAAUUUUUAAUUAAAUUUUUUAUUCACAAUUAUAAUAAUUUUUUUAAUUAUAAUUAUAAUAAUUUUUAUUUUUAUUUUUACUAUAAUAAAUCUCAUUAUCCAUCCAAAUAAAAAUUUUAUUUUCUUCAUAUCAUAACGUUACUUUUUUUAGUAACUUAUUUUAAAAGUCAAGUCCUUUCAGGCUCUUUCCUAUGAUCCAUCACGGAUCACAAUUUUCUAUAUGUAGAAUAAAAGUGAAUAUGCAAUAAUUACAAUAAAAAGUUAAUGGUGAAAAAAAUUAAAAAUUGAUUUAAAAUUAUGAUGUUAAAUUUAGUUUAGAUCAAUUUUUUAUUAAAUUUAGAUCAAAUUUAAAUAUUAAAUGUAUAUAUUAAAUUUAGAUCAAAUUUAAAAUUUGAAUAUGAAAAACGAAAAAAAAAUCAAAUCAAAUUAUAUAUAUUUAUUAAUUUAUAUAUAUAUAUAUUUAAAAUUUUUAUAAAAUAAAAAUAAUUCUUUUUUAUAAAUCUAUUUAAAUAUAUUAAAAAUUAGAUUAAAAUAAUAAAUAAAAAUUUUAAAUUUAAAAAUUAAUAAACCAAAUCGAAUUAAUAAAAUUCAAUUUUGAUCAGAUUAAUUCAAAAAAAAAUCAAUUAAAAUUCAGAUCAAAUUUUAAAAAUUCUUAAUAUUAUACAUUCUAAAAAAAUGAACUAAAACCAAUCAAAUCUAAAUAGUUAUCACUCCUAAAAAAAAAUUAUUAUUACCAAAAAAAAAUUUCACGCUAUUGCUAUAUAUAAAAUCCUUUAUUUGAAAUUGAAGUGCACGUUUGGUCAAAUUACCAGCUACUUUAUUUCUUAUCCUUUGAGAAGUUUACUAAGUGUAGAGUGAAAAUUUUCAAGUAAUUUCGACCAAAAAAACCUUUUUUUCAAGUAAUUCCUUAAUUUGUCUCUUUUAAAGAAUGUUUAUGUUUGGUUUAGUCUCUUUAGGAUAUGAUCAUUUGUAAUAUUCCACGAUGAUAAAGCUUGACAUGAAAAAGUACUUGUAAACUAAAAAGUACUUGUAAACUAAACUAGGGAGACUUACAUUAUAAGAAGUCUCUUUAGAAUAUCGUCUUGAAAUAUUCAAAGAUAAUAUUACAAAAGAACAUAUUUAAAGGAGACUUAACACAAUACAAGCAUUCAUUUAAAAAAAAUUAAGAAACUACAUAGAAAUUAAAACCAAUUCCCGGAACCUUCAGCAAUCAAGUCCUACUUUAGUUCCUGUACUUCAGAAGUUUACUAGGUAUUGAGUAAAAUUUUCCAAGUUGCUUCUUUGUCUCCUUUGAAGAAUGCUUGUCUUGUUCUUAAUCUCCUUAAAUAAAUACCUUUUGCAAUAUUCCAAGCUGAUAUAUAGAAUUUGGUACCGAAAACUACUUCUAAACUAUUACAGGAAAUGAAAUUUUCACCACAUAUGUUGACAAAAAAAUGCUGGAAUUAAAGAAUGUAUUAAAGUCUGUGCAAAGGGCAAUAAAAUAAUUGAGGACAAGAGUGAAAAUCAGUACAAACUGAUGAGUCACCACAAAAAGGAGGUACCAAAGGCAUCCAGUGCCAAAGAUAGCAGACGUCUCAGCAAGUCCAUCCACGGCGAGGACAAAGCAAGUACAGUUUCUCAGAUUUACAAGAUAAUAUUUAUGUAAAAAACAAAAGUAGUCUGGAUAAAAACAAUCCCUCAGUGCAAAUUUAACUCAGAAGAGAUAUUGCCAACUAAUGAGGAAAGUAGAAUUUCACAGUCGUACCUAUCGUCAGAA
Molecule: long non-coding RNA, 26065 nt
Filed under: Durio zibethinus
Lineage: Eukaryota; Viridiplantae; Streptophyta; Magnoliopsida; Malvales; Malvaceae
Description: long non-coding RNA (DZIB_LNC000769)
Source: RNAcentral